CGCGGCCUAUCAGCUUGUUGGUGAGGUAAUGGCUCACCAAGGCGACGACGGGUAGCCGGCCUGAGAGGGCGACCGGCCACACUGGGACUGAGACACGGCCCAGACUCCUACGGGAGGCAGCAGUGGGGAAUAUUGCACAAUGGGCGAAAGCCUGGUGCAGCGACGCCGCGUGAGGGAUGACGGCCUUCGGGUUGUAAACCUCUUUCGGCAGGGAAGAAGCGAAAGUGACGGUACCUGCAGAAGAAGCGCCGGCUAACUACGUGCCAGCAGCCGCGGUAAUACGUAGGGCGCAAGCGUUGUCCGGAAUUAUUGGGCGUAAAGAGCUCGUAGGCGGCUUGUCACGUCGGGUGUGAAAGCCCGGGGCUUAACCCCGGGUCUGCAUUCGAUACGGGCUAGCUAGAGUGUGGUAGGGGAGAUCGGAAUUCCUGGUGUAGCGGUGAAAUGCGCAGAUAUCAGGAGGAACACCGGUGGCGAAGGCGGAUCUCUGGGCCAUUACUGACGCUGAGGAGCGAAAGCGUGGGGAGCGAACAGGAUUAGAUACCCUGGUAGUCCACGCCGUAAACGGUGGGAACUAGGUGUUGGCGACAUUCCACGUCGUCAGUGCCGCAGCUAACGCAUUAAGUUCCCCGCCUGGGGAGUACGG
RNAcentral lists this ribosomal RNA (643 nucleotides) under uncultured bacterium. RNAcentral describes it as "bacterial SSU rRNA". It matches the Rfam family "Bacterial small subunit ribosomal RNA", at positions 232 to 885 of the family's 1533-position model. The record is from RNAcentral.